Molecule: unclassified non-coding RNA, 212 nt
Filed under: fungal sp.
Lineage: Eukaryota; Fungi
Description: partial internal transcribed spacer region
Rfam family: Eukaryotic small subunit ribosomal RNA (bases 1-46)
Source: RNAcentral
AAGUCGUAACAAGGUUUCCGUAGGUGAACCUGCGGAAGGAUCAUUCUUGUAUGUUGUAGCUUAUGCUACCACUUAUUAUGUGCACUGUUACUCGCCAUUUGGCGGCCGCAAGGUCGUCGUCUGGCUCACUUUUUAUAUACCUUACUAACAACAUCUUUAUACCAUCAAACUUAAGUUUGAGAAAACUUUUAGCAAUGGAUCUCUAGGCUCUC